CUUGGUGAGUAUAUCUACGGAGGUACACCUGGAUCCAUUUCGAACCCAGAAGUUAAGCCCGUAAACGCUGAAAGUACUCGGAGGGCAGCCUCCCGGGAUGAUAGGAACUUGCCAAGC
RNAcentral lists this ribosomal RNA (117 nucleotides) under Fusobacteriaceae bacterium. The record is from RNAcentral. Lineage: Bacteria; Fusobacteriati; Fusobacteriota; Fusobacteriia; Fusobacteriales; Fusobacteriaceae.